Molecule: long non-coding RNA, 1103 nt
Organism: Tupaia belangeri chinensis (Chinese tree shrew)
Lineage: Eukaryota; Metazoa; Chordata; Mammalia; Scandentia; Tupaiidae
Exons: 3
Source: RefSeq, a predicted model, not a curated record
GCCUGCCUGCUCCGGCACACUGCAGCCCCGUGUCAGCCCUCAUGCGGCCCGGGCGUCCUGGAGGCAGCGUCAGACAGCCACAGGCCCGAAUUCUCUCCCUGGGAGCUGCUGCCAAGCACGCCUGGGGCUGGUGCAAGGCCGUGCACGAACCAACCCGCCCAGUAGGAGCCGAGCGCGAGUGCGGGGCCAGCAGGUUACUGCGGCGGGCUCUCCCAUGGCUGACGGCAGUUCGACUCUCACAACUCCCAGGGUUUGGACAUGGCGCCAGGUGCCUGCACACCUGUGUGCCCAGCAUGCGGAGCGGAGAAUAGAGAAGGGACUGUGGUAUGGCCACCCCCCAGGAAGGGGUCAAGGAGGAGACUGGCCACAGGAGAGAAAGGAGCGGGGAGCGCAUGGCAGGGGCCCACCGUGCCCUCACGAAGCACCGCAGGUACUGGGGGUGAGGACCCCAACAUCCGCCGUGGGACGCAAUUCAGUACACAACAAAGGCGAGCCAGCAGCUUCGCGUGACAGCCUGGAGUGAGGAGGACAGGGAGAAGAGCAGCUGCCCUGGGCGCCGGCGGCGCCUGCGCUGGAUCUUGUGCAAGGAAGCGGGAGCCACGGGACAGCCAGACCAACGUGAAGGGUGGGCUGCAGCAAAGCCCAAAGUCACUGAGGUCACGUACGUGGCAGGGGCAGAGGGAGGGGGCAGGUGCAAUGAACUGGGGCUGGGAACGAAGAAAGUUGGACGUCGGGUUCGAGGCGGGAAGUGUCAGAGAGGUCUCAGGCUUCUCGCCCACGUGGCCUGAUCUGGAUGUCACUAACCACGGAAGGGAAUACAGAGGGGCCGUGACCUUGGUCAUGGAGGUCCCAGUGGGAUCUGAGAUGGUCAGGACUAGACAGAGAUUCUGGUGAUUUCUGAAUGCUGGGGAGCCACUGUCGUCCAGGGAGCUCUGGCCUUUGAGAGCCUGGUGUGGGUCCCCCCUCCUGAGAAACUGGCACUAAGUGACUCCAGUCUGCUUCACCUGGUAACAUGCUCUGUGUAUCCAUGUGUGUCCCUAACGUCACACUGUAAGCCUCAAAUAUAUGCCACGAGAUGUCUUUUUUAAAAAGUCAUACUAUUG